RNAcentral lists this ribosomal RNA (253 nucleotides) under uncultured bacterium. Its description in RNAcentral is "partial 16S ribosomal RNA". It matches the Rfam family "Bacterial small subunit ribosomal RNA", at positions 524 to 776 of the family's 1533-position model. The record is from RNAcentral.
UACGAAGGGGGCUAGCGUUGUUCGGAUUCACUGGGCGUAAAGCGCACGUCGGCGGAUUUGUCAGUCAGGGGUGAAAUCCCGGGGCUCAACCUCGGCACUGCCUUUGAUACAGCAAAUCUCGAGUCCGGAAGAGGUGGGUGGAAUUCCUAGUGUAGAGGUGAAAUUCGUAGAUAUUAGGAAGAACACCAGUGGCGAAGGCUGCCCACUGGUCCGGUACUGACGCUGAGGUGCGAAAUCGUGGGGAGCAAACAGG